RNAcentral lists this ribosomal RNA (377 nucleotides) under uncultured bacterium. RNAcentral's name for it is "bacterial SSU rRNA". It matches the Rfam family "Bacterial small subunit ribosomal RNA", at positions 521 to 896 of the family's 1533-position model. The record is from RNAcentral.
UAAGACGGAGGGGGCGAGCGUUGUUCGGAAUUAUUGGGCGUAAAGCGCGCGUAGGCGGUCGAGUCAGUCGGACGUGAAAGCCCAGGGCUCAACCCUGGAAGGGCGUUCGAUACUGCCCGACUUGAGUACGGUAGAGGAGAGCGGAAUUCCCAGUGUAGCGGUGAAAUGCGUAGAUAUUGGGAGGAACACCAGUGGCGAAGGCGGCUCUCUGGACCGUUACUGACGCUGAGGUGCGAAAGCUAGGGGAGCAAACGGGAUUAGAUACCCCGGUAGUCCUAGCCGUAAACGAUGGGCACUAGGUGUUGGGGGUAUCAACCCCUCCAGUGCCGGAGCUAACGCAUUAAGUGCCCCGCCUGGGGAGUACGGUCGCAAGGCUG